RNAcentral lists this ribosomal RNA (497 nucleotides) under uncultured bacterium. RNAcentral's name for it is "partial 16S ribosomal RNA". It matches the Rfam family "Bacterial small subunit ribosomal RNA", at positions 28 to 507 of the family's 1533-position model. The record is from RNAcentral.
GAUGAACGCUGGCGGCGUGCCUAAUACAUGCAAGCCGAGCGAACGGACGAGAAGCUUGCUUCUCUGAUGUUAGCGGCGGACGGGUGAGUAACACGUGGAUAACCUACCUAUAAGACUGGGAUAACUUCGGGAAACCGGAGCUAAUACCGGAUAAUAUUUUGAACCGCAUGGUUCAAAAGUGAAAGACGGUCUUGCUGUCACUUAUAGAUGGAUCCGCGCUGCAUUAGCUAGUUGGUAAGGUAACGGCCUACCAAGGCAACGAUGCAUAGCCGACCUGAGAGGGUGAUCGGCCACACUGGAACUGAGACACGGUCCAGACUCCUACGGGAGGCAGCAGUAGGGAAUCUUCCGCAAUGGGCGAAAGCCUGACGGAGCAACGCCGCGUGAGUGAUGAAGGUCUUCGGAUCGUAAAACUCUGUUAUUAGGGAAGAACAUAUGUGUAAGUAACUGUGCACAUCUUGACGGUACCUAAUCAGAAAGCCACGGCUAACUACGUG